AUUGAACGCUGGCGGCAGGCCUAACACCUGCAAGUCGAGCGGUAGAGAGAAGCUUGCUUCUCUUGAGAGCGGCGGACGGGUGAGUAAUGCCUAGGAAUCUGCCUGGUAGUGGGGGAUAACGUUCGGAAACGGACGCUAAUACCGCAUACGUCCUACGGGAGAAAGCAGGGGACCUUCGGGCCUUGCGCUAUCAGAUGAGCCUAGGUCGGAUUAGCUAGUUGGUGAGGUAAUGGCUCACCAAGGCGACGAUCCGUAACUGGUCUGAGAGGAUGAUCAGUCGCACUGGAACUGAGACACGGUCCAGACUCCUACGGGAGGCAGCAGUGGGGAAUAUUGGACAAUGGGCGAAAGCCUGAUCCAGCCAUGCCGCGUGUGUGAAGAAGGUCUUCGGAUUGUAAAGCACUUUAAGUUGGGAGGAAGGGUUGUAGAUUAAUACUCUGCAAUUUUGACGUUACCGACAGAAUAAGCACCGGCUAACUCUGUGCCAGCCGCCGCGGUAA
This 500-nucleotide ribosomal RNA is filed under the name uncultured bacterium. Its description in RNAcentral is "partial 16S ribosomal RNA". It matches the Rfam family "Bacterial small subunit ribosomal RNA", at positions 30 to 523 of the family's 1533-position model. The record is from RNAcentral.